This is a non-coding RNA of Camellia sinensis, 366 nucleotides long. The record is from RefSeq and is a predicted model, not a curated record. NCBI's taxonomy places the organism in Eukaryota, Viridiplantae, Streptophyta, Magnoliopsida, Ericales, Theaceae.
CUGUAUUCCAAUUUUUUGUUAAUGUUUUGUUCUUCAUCCGCUUGCAGAAGCAAUUAAAGUAGAAAUCGGAUUCAAGAAUCCACUUCAAAUCCCUAUUUCUAUCUCUAGUGUUUCCCUAAUAUGUGAGCAUUCUGCAAGAUCUGAUGAAAUUGAAGUUGAUCCAAAUGGCACAUCUACUGAGAAUCAGAAUGAUGACCAAUUCAGAAAAUUAGCCACUAGUGGGGAAUGUAGCUCAGAAAUGUCCUCAUUUACAGUGUCUGAGGUUGACAUUUCAUUGGGAGGAGGUGAAACACUUUUGGUGAGUUUUUCUUAUGCAUGGAGGACUUUCUUAAUUCUCCCAAAGCCUGGCACCCUUUUGAAUGACAG